This 67-nucleotide microRNA precursor is filed under the name Bombyx mori (domestic silkworm). RNAcentral's name for it is "mir-2774 microRNA precursor family". It matches the Rfam family "mir-2774 microRNA precursor family". The record is from Rfam by way of RNAcentral. Lineage: Eukaryota; Metazoa; Arthropoda; Insecta; Lepidoptera; Bombycidae.
AUAAUAUUCAGAGCGUCGGUCUACGGAGCAAUUUCACCCGCUCGGUGGAAGAUCUUUCCUUCGUCGU